Long non-coding RNA from Balaenoptera acutorostrata (minke whale), 502 nucleotides. RefSeq lists it as uncharacterized. Lineage: Eukaryota; Metazoa; Chordata; Mammalia; Artiodactyla; Balaenopteridae. The transcript has 2 exons. The record is from RefSeq and is a predicted model, not a curated record.
GGCCCCUGCUGCGGCCGAACGAAAGUUGGGGGGCAACAUCUCAGCUGAGUCAGGAGUUACGCCUCGGAGGUCCUUCUCUCGGAACAUCUUCCGCCAGGAUGGGGAGCGGCUGAAGGACUUGGCACUGUCCUAGGAGCAAGGCCAGGUCAGAGUAGUCGAAGGUCUCGUCCAGGGCGAGCAGCGCCCCGUGCACCCCGCUCUCCGUGAGGUUCGUGGCGAAUUCCUUCAGGCCCAGCCCGGACACCCAACCCAUGACCCGCUCAUUGGACCACACCAUCACGUCUGGGGACAGAAGGGACCCUCAGCUGCUCCCCUCCUGGGGCCAGGCCCUUCCAAUUUAUCCCAUAUCUCCACUCCCACUUCCUCUUCCUGGCCACGCCCCUAUGCUGGCUCCAUCCCCUCUUCCCUGGCCUCCCUCCCCUCCCCUAUUUAUGCCUCCUCCAGCACUGCUCCAAACCCCUCCAACGUGGCUCCCAGCUGGACGUUUACACUUUUCUACUCA